AUUGAACGCUGGCGGCAUGCCUUACACAUGCAAGUCGAACGGUAACAGGUCUUCGGAUGCUGACGAGUGGCGAACGGGUGAGUAAUACAUCGGAACGUGCCUAGUAGUGGGGGAUAACUACUCGAAAGAGUGGCUAAUACCGCAUGAGAUCUACGGAUGAAAGCAGGGGAUCGCAAGACCUUGUGCUACUAGAGCGGCCGAUGGCAGAUUAGGUAGUUGGUGGGAUAAAAGCUUACCAAGCCGACGAUCUGUAGCUGGUCUGCGAGUACGAUCAGCCACAGUGGGACUGAGACACGGCCCAGACUCCUGCGGGAGGCAGCAGUGGGGAAUUUUGGACAAGGGGCGUAAGCCUGAUCCAGCAAUGCCGCGUGCAGGAUGAAGGCCUUCGGGUUGUAAACUGCUUUUGUACGGAACGAAAAGCCCCGGGUUAAUACCCUGGGGUCAUGACGGUACCGUAAGAAUAAGCACCGGCUAACUACGUGUCAGCCGCCGCCGUAA
This 498-nucleotide ribosomal RNA is filed under the name uncultured bacterium. RNAcentral describes it as "partial 16S ribosomal RNA". It matches the Rfam family "Bacterial small subunit ribosomal RNA", at positions 30 to 523 of the family's 1533-position model. The record is from RNAcentral.